AGCAUGAAAGAAAAGAGUUGUCAUUCAUUUGGUCCAUCAUUGCCGUGGCUACACCAAAAGGAAAGAGAAAAAGCUUUUGCUUUCUUAUCUUCCAUUUCCACCAUAGUUCAUCAAAAAGAUAAAAUCUCCAGCCACACAAAAUCUGUUCUUAAGUGUAAUAACCAGCAAGGAAACCAUAGAAAGGGAGGAAAGAAGGAGAGAAGUUAAGGUGCUUUAGUGAACAAACUCAAAGGGAGGAAGGUACAUCAAAGGGGAAAGGCAAGGAAAGAGAGUAACUAAGGUGUACCUAAAGCUUUUGAAAAGAUUGUGCAAAAGGUAAUAGAUAGAGGAAGCAACAGUUAGGAGGUCUGGUUCUGCAUCAGCACAGAGACAUCAUCAUAACCAGUCAGUCACAAGAUUUGUACAGAGGUUGUUUAUGGUUGGCAUGUACAUUAAUAGUCUACCAAGAGUCUGUAAAUGAGUAUUGUAAAUA
Manihot esculenta (cassava) is the source of this 472-nucleotide long non-coding RNA. RefSeq lists it as uncharacterized. Lineage: Eukaryota; Viridiplantae; Streptophyta; Magnoliopsida; Malpighiales; Euphorbiaceae. The transcript has 3 exons. The record is from RefSeq and is a predicted model, not a curated record.